RNAcentral lists this ribosomal RNA (227 nucleotides) under uncultured beta proteobacterium. Its description in RNAcentral is "partial 16S ribosomal RNA". It matches the Rfam family "Bacterial small subunit ribosomal RNA", at positions 980 to 1211 of the family's 1533-position model. Lineage: Bacteria; Pseudomonadati; Pseudomonadota; Betaproteobacteria. The record is from RNAcentral.
UUUGACAUGUAUGGAACCCUCCAGAGAUGGAGGGGUGCCCGAAAGGGAGCCAUAACACAGGUGCUGCAUGGCUGUCGUCAGCUCGUGUCGUGAGAUGUUGGGUUAAGUCCCGCAACGAGCGCAACCCUUGUCAUUAGUUGCUACGAAAGGGCACUCUAAUGAGACUGCCGGUGACAAACCGGAGGAAGGUGGGGAUGACGUCAAGUCCUCAUGGCCCUUAUGGGUAG